CAAGAAACAAAACUCCGAACUUGAAUUUCUAAGGCGAAAGCUAUGAAUUCAAGCCUGAAUGUUUCACGACAUUCACAGGGUACUGCUGGAAACGGCAUUGCCUUCCGUUAUUAGAAGGAGAUAUUUUAUCAAAGCA
This 136-nucleotide non-coding RNA is filed under the name Parasporobacterium paucivorans. Its description in RNAcentral is "MoCo sequence". It matches the Rfam family "Molybdenum/Tungsten riboswitch aptamer (Moco RNA motif)". RNAcentral also lists the same sequence under 1 other name. Lineage: Bacteria; Bacillati; Bacillota; Clostridia; Lachnospirales; Lachnospiraceae. The record is from RNAcentral.